Molecule: ribosomal RNA, 499 nt
Filed under: uncultured bacterium
Lineage: Bacteria
Description: bacterial SSU rRNA
Rfam family: Bacterial small subunit ribosomal RNA
Source: RNAcentral
CCUACGGGAGGCAGCAGUGAGGAAUAUUGGACAAUGGGCGCAAGCCUGAUCCAGCCAUGCCGCGUGCAGGAAGACGGUCCUAUGGAUUGUAAACUGCUUUUGUACAGGAAGAAACACUCCCUCGUGAGGGAGCUUGACGGUACUGUAAGAAUAAGGAUCGGCUAACUCCGUGCCAGCAGCCGCGGUAAUACGGAGGAUCCAAGCGUUAUCCGGAAUCAUUGGGUUUAAAGGGUCCGUAGGCGGUUUAAUAAGUCAGUGGUGAAAUCUGGUCGCUCAACGAUCAAACGGCCAUUGAUACUGUUAGACUUGAAUUAUUAGGAAGUAACUAGAAUAUGUAGUGUAGCGGUGAAAUGCUUAGAUAUUACAUGGAAUACCAAUUGCGAAGGCAGGUUACUACUAAUGGAUUGACGCUGAUGGACGAAAGCGUGGGGAGCGAACAGGAUUUAGAUACCCUGGUAGUCCACGACGUAACGAUAGAUACUAGNUGUUGGUCGCGAGU